GGGUGCGAUCAUACCAGCACUAAUGCAUCGGAUCCCAUCAGAACUCCGCAGUUAAGUGUUCUUGGGCGAGAGUAGUACUAGGAUGGGUGACCUCCUGGGAAGUCCUCGUGUUGCACCCC
Non-coding RNA from Arabis alpina (gray rockcress), 119 nucleotides. The record is from Rfam. Lineage: Eukaryota; Viridiplantae; Streptophyta; Magnoliopsida; Brassicales; Brassicaceae.